CAUGUUAGUCGAGGGUACCUCUUCUUCUUCGGAGGAUGAGGUAACCCAGGCGGACGGCUCAGUAACACGUGGAUAACUUGCCCUUGGGUCUGGGAUAACCCCUGGGAAACUGGGGCUAAUACCGGAUAGAGCAUCGAUCGCUGGAAUGCCUGAUGCUCGAAAACUACGGUGCCCAAGGAUAGGUCUGCGGCUGAUUAGGUUGUUGUUGAUGUAAUGGACCAACAAGCCUACGAUCGGUACGGGUUGUGAGAGCAAUAGCCCGGAGAUGGGUUCUGAGAAAAGAACCCAGGUCCUACGGGACGCAUCAGGCGCGAAAACUUUACAAUGUGCGAAAGCACGAUAAGGGAACUCUGAGUGCCCCCUAAGGGGGCUGUUCUAGUGUCUAAAAAGCAAUAGAAGUAAGGGCUGGGCAAGACCGGUGCCAGCCGCCGCGGUAACACCGGCAGCCCAAGUGGUAGCCACGUUUAUUGGGUCUAAAGCGUUCGUAGCCGGCUUGGUAAGUUCCUUGGUAAAUUUAGCCGCUUAACGGUUAAGCUUUCAGGGAAUACUGCUUGGCUUGGGACUGGGAGAGGUCAGAGGUACUUCAAGGGUAGGGGUGAAAUCCGUUAAUCCUUGAGGGACCACCCGUAGCGAAGGCGUCUGACCAGACCGGGUCCGACGGUGAGGGACGAAGGCUAGGGUCGCGAACCGGAUUAGAUACCCGGGUAGUCCUAGCUGUAAACGAUGCGGGCCAGGUGUUGGCAUUACUGCGAGUGAUGUCAGUGCCGAAGGGAAGCCGUUAAGCCCGCCAUCUGGGGAGUACGGUCGCAAGGCUGAAACUUAAAGGAAUUGGCGGGGGAGCACCACAACGGGUGGAGCCUGC
RNAcentral lists this ribosomal RNA (862 nucleotides) under uncultured archaeon. Its description in RNAcentral is "bacterial SSU rRNA". It matches the Rfam family "Archaeal small subunit ribosomal RNA", at positions 50 to 898 of the family's 1478-position model. The record is from RNAcentral.